CUUAACGGGCGUGGAUUUCAGCGGCUCAAUGAGGCGCUCCUCACCCUCAUCCCUAAGAAGCAGGAUGCGGCAUCCCUCUUCGACUAUCGGCCUAUCAGUCUCAUUCAUCUCAUUGCAAAGCUAUUCGCGAAGGCGCUCUCCCUCCGACUAGCACCGCAUCUGGGCCAAUUGGUCUCCACGAACCAAAGCGUGUUCAUUGCUGGCCGGAGCAUCCACGACAAUUUUCUCCUCGUUCAGCAAACGGCCAGACUCCUCCAC
RNAcentral lists this ribosomal RNA (258 nucleotides) under Triticum aestivum (bread wheat). RNAcentral's name for it is "partial small subunit ribosomal RNA". Lineage: Eukaryota; Viridiplantae; Streptophyta; Magnoliopsida; Poales; Poaceae. The record is from RNAcentral.